UUCUGUUUCUCCUCCGGAAACCUUGCACACUCCUUUGAUUCAUGGUGUUAAUGGAAAACCUGUAGCUGGUGGUCCAUACAUCUUCUGGAGAGACAUUUUUCACAGAACUCACCUCAUCUGGGGACCAUGUGUCCAGGAGAGUUACCGGUUUUUGGCAAAGGGCACAUCCAGACCCACGUGCCAGCGUUACCCUCUGGGACAUCUGGUUACCAACUAAUGACAGGCAGCCAGGUAUCCUUUCCUCCAGUCGUACAUGCAGUCUUUUCUUCACCUUUGCAACCUCAUUAUGGCUAAAGCAGACAUUUAUCACCCCUGGGAAGGAGAAGAUGUGCACGUGGUUUCCACAGUGUGGUGAACCAACUUGGACACGAUACCCUCAGAGGUCUGACUGCCGCACAGCGCGUCAGGACCGUUGGCCCAGGACUCAGGAGGAGUCUGGUCGUCUGCCUGCCUAGAACCUAUUGCUUGACCUUGGAUAAGUCGCUUUCCCUGUCCAGGCAUUGUGUCCCUCCGCUCUAAGGCCAGCACAGUGGCUAGGAUAUGGGAGAUGAUCAAACCGUGUUUAUUGAAUCUGCGGAAAUAUACGAAGGCUUGGGAAGAGAAUGGCUCUACUGUUCCAUGGCAGGUAGAGCUGGCUCAAAGCCUGGCCUGCAGGGCUGUUGCUGACGCUGCCCACAGGUCCAGACAACCACAGACUGUGGACAGUCACGACUUGUGUAAAUUGCCAUUGUCAGCCUGGCCUCUUGGGGUCAAGCUGCUGAAGUUCCAGUAGGCCUGCUGGUAAACCCCAGCCUCCUGUGCUCUACGGCGUGUCCCUGGAUGGACAGACAGUAUUCUAAUAGAGUAAUGAAGCUUGAUGAUAUGGAAAUCAGCAUCGGCCUUGACCUUCUAUUCAUAGUGUAUGAACUCUGACUCUCCCCUUUGGUAGGACUCACCCAGAACACCAUCAACCAAGAGGCCACACCAAACUUAGUUACAAGAGAACUUCUUGAAGUCAUUCUUCGGUGAGUACAAAUAAAACCCGUGUUUCUGGUUUUUGUUUUUGUUUUUUUCUUUUGUAAAUUCACAACCUGGUUUUACCCAAGUAUUUGUACCCGCUCAUAUCUUGAAACAGCACUGGGGGCUUCCAGGUCAAGGACACAGGGGGAUCCUAAUCUUCACUAGCAGCAGAAAAAUCUGGAGAGGCUCCAGACACACCCCAGCUAGCAGGGCUCAGACAGGAGAGGCUGCCUCAACUGGUGGGUACCACGGAUCCUGCUUGUCCAUUCCCUUUGGUGCCUACUCUGUGUCUGCCCAUGUUUGCCUUUCCUCCACCCCCAUCCCAUGUGCAUCCCUACCCCCCUUCUCCCAGCUGCAGACUCCCUAUUCUUAUCAAAAGCUGCUCCUGUUCUCCAGAUCAUGUAAUGCCCGUUACCAUGGCACCCGGUACUUCACAUUAUUAAGACAAUCUCUUUAUUAGUAAGCCUGCUCCUCCCAGGAAGUCAGGCGCCUCGGAGCCCAUUUGACGAGACGAUGAACCUGAGUCUCUGGAGGUUUCGGGACUGUCAGGGGGUCAGGACAGACAGCCUCGGAGAGCUCGGGCCUCAUGCCCCACUCCUGGACUGCACCUGACUGCUUAGAGGGUGACUGGGACUCUCACAGCCUCCUUCCCUUUCAUUGCCUUCAUUGCCUUUUCUUUUCAUCAUGCACUCAUAAUAAUUAUACACGUUAUCACACUUCACGUUUUACAAAAGGCUUUCAAAUACAUCCCUACUUUCCAUCUUCACAGUAUCCCUGUUGACUAAGAAUAUUGUGCUCAUUUUAAAGGCUGAGGAAACUGGAAGCUGACGUUCAGAGAAUCUGACUGUUCAAGGUCAUACAGACACUCAGGGGCAAAGCUAGGGCUCAAACCAGACCCUCUGCUGUCUCUACAACCCCUUUUCUUAUCCUAGACAGACAGAUAGGCACACAGAUAGACAAAAAAUUCUAUGCCAAUUGCAUGCUCAGUAAUAAUUUGUUGAUUUAUAGACUCAACGUGUCCGCUUUGAAUCCAAUGUGAUGUUACUGACUCACCAUUACUGACUUUGGACUGCCUUCCCAGUAGAGGAAUAGCUUCAACGACUUUUUUCUUCCUUUCCUUUCCUUUCCUUUCCUUUCCUUUCCUUUCCUUUCCUUUCCUUUCCUUUCCUUUCCUUUCCUUUCCUUUCCUUUCCUUUCCUCUCCUCUCCUCUCCUCUCCUCUCCUCUCCUCUCCUCUCCUCUCCUCUCCUCUCCUCUCCUCU
Molecule: long non-coding RNA, 2260 nt
Organism: Acinonyx jubatus (cheetah)
Lineage: Eukaryota; Metazoa; Chordata; Mammalia; Carnivora; Felidae
Exons: 5
Source: RefSeq, a predicted model, not a curated record